CGCCGCGGUUACACCACGUGGCUCAAAUUGACCCCCUUCGGCGUAAAGCGUGAUUAAAGUUUUCACUUACUAGAGUUAAACUAAAACUAAGCUGUGACACGCCUGUUAUCAAGAAACCCAAAAACGAAAGUUACUCUAACACAACCGACUUGAACUCACGACAGCUGGGAAA
RNAcentral lists this ribosomal RNA (172 nucleotides) under Bufo japonicus (Japanese toad). Its description in RNAcentral is "partial 12S rRNA". The record is from RNAcentral. Lineage: Eukaryota; Metazoa; Chordata; Amphibia; Anura; Bufonidae.